CCCUUAGAUGUUCUGGGCCGCACGCGCGCUACACUGAUGCAUUCAACGAGUUUCUUCCUGGUCCAAGAGGAAUGGGUAACCUUUUGAAAGUGCAUCGUGAUAGGGAUAGACUAUUGCAAUUAUUGGUCUUCAACGAGGAAUUCCUAGUAGACGUAGUUCAUCAGACUGCAUCGAUUACGUCCCUGCCCUUUGUACACACCGCCCGUCGCUCCUACCGAUUGAAUGCUCAGGUGAGCCAUUCGGACUUUCAUCAUGCUGGUUUCCAGUUUUGAUGAAGGAAAGUCUUGCGAACCUUAUCAUUUAGAGGAAGGAGAAGUCGUAACA
RNAcentral lists this ribosomal RNA (324 nucleotides) under uncultured eukaryote. RNAcentral's name for it is "partial 18S ribosomal RNA". It matches the Rfam family "Eukaryotic small subunit ribosomal RNA", at positions 1470 to 1796 of the family's 1831-position model. The record is from RNAcentral.